UGAGGAUCUUGCUUCUAGAAUUUCUUUUCUUCUCCAGUAAAUUGAGUGAACUGAAUGGCUCAAUUUUUCUGUAAUAUGAAGACAAAAUUUAUAAAGAGAUAUGCUUUCUAUACUAAAAACAUGCUAACUUUUCUUUUUCAGGAUAAACCAGCACACAAGUCAGUCUGAAAGCUUUUGGCAUUGAUAACACAAAGAACCUAUUAUUUAAUUUGUAUUAAACCCAGAAACUGCAAAAACUCUCGCUGAGGUGCACUGCUAUUUUAUGAGAAAAAUGACUUUUAAAAGCAGAAGAUGAAAAUACUUGCAUUAAUAAUCUUCUUCCAAAGGAUGGAUAGACAGACCCACUCUGAAGGCCCUCAUUAGAGCAAAUGAGGGGAUGAGUGGGCAGCAAAGUUACACAGUGCCAAUUUGGCUUCACCUGAAUGAAAAAUGAAGCUAAAUCUGCUGGGGGAGAGGAGCCUCACACUUUCAGAAAAGAAUUACAUUCAGAAUUUGAUGAGAUAUGCUGCCUCUGGAAUCUGUUAAAUCUGUUAUCAAUAACGACUGCAACUUCCAGCCACAGUUGAGGACUUAAAGCCAUAAAGUACUGCAGUACUGCACAAAAAAAAAAAAAAAAAAAAAAAAAAAAAAAAAAAAAAAAAAAAAGUACUGUAAACACUGAAGUGAGGUUUAUUGAAGAAGUCUUGAUUACCAUGACAGUAAACUCCUCUAACCACAGCUAGUACAGAGAAAGGUAGUUACAGAAUUUAUCGAGUCUUGCUCAAACCAAAUAUAUAUCCACUCUCAGUCCCCAUUUUUAUUUUUCAUCACCCAGAAGAACAUAAUUUUUUGCUUUAUCACAAACCUUCCAUCUGUUUUGUCCUCUAAGUCAUUUGUCACACUCCUCAAGGUCACAGGGGAGUCUCAGUGGGAAAGCAUGUGUGUUGAUUGAUUGGUGCUGUGAUGCCUAUGUGUACCAGGGCUGCAAAAUGAGCUUCUUCCCCCUCUCCCCCUACUUUCUUGCCUCCAAGCAACUAUGUGAUUGAAAGCAGGGAGGGGAAGAAAGGGGGAGGGGGAGAGGGGGGGGGAAGAGGAGAAAGGGGGGUGAGUGUGAAGGGGAGAAAGGGGGGGGUGGGAGGGGGAGGGGACCGCCAUA
This 1135-nucleotide long non-coding RNA is filed under the name Phasianus colchicus (ring-necked pheasant). RNAcentral's name for it is "lncRNA (ENSPCLG00000000818.1)". The record is from RNAcentral. Lineage: Eukaryota; Metazoa; Chordata; Aves; Galliformes; Phasianidae.